UGCAAGUCGCGGGGCAGCACGGGUAGCAAGUACCUGGUGGCGACCGGCGCACGGGUGCGUAACGCCGUAUGCAACCUGCCCCCAUCAGGGGAAUAGCCCGCCGAAAGGCGGAUUAAUGCCCCAUAGGCCCAGGGCGCCGCACUGGCGCUAAUGGGUAAAGCUCCGGCGGAUGGGGAUGGGCAUGCGUGCCAUUAGCUAGUGGGGCGGUAACGGCGCACCAAGGCGACGAUGGCUAGGGGGUCUGAGAGGAUGGUCCCCCACACUGGUACUGAGACACGGACCAGACUCCUACGGGAGGCAGCAGUGAGGAAUAUUGGUCAAUGGGCGGAAGCCUGAACCAGCCAAUGCCGCGUGCAGGAUGACGGCCCUACGGGUUGUAAACUGCUUUUCCCCGGGAAGAAUAAGCCCCUCGUGAGGGGUGAUGCCGGUACCGGGGGAAUAAGGAUCGGCUAACUCCGUGCCAGCCGCCGC
RNAcentral lists this ribosomal RNA (471 nucleotides) under uncultured bacterium. Its description in RNAcentral is "bacterial SSU rRNA". It matches the Rfam family "Bacterial small subunit ribosomal RNA", at positions 56 to 518 of the family's 1533-position model. The record is from RNAcentral.